GAUGAAGAACGUAGCGAAAUGCGAUAACUAGUGUGAAUUGCAGAAUUCCGUGAAUCAUCGAGUCUUUGAACGCACAUUGCGCCCCAUGGUAUUCCGGGGGGCAUGCCUGUCCGAGCGUCAUUGCUGCCCAUCAAGCACGGCUUGUGUGUUGGGUCGUCGUCCCCCCCUCCGGGGGGGGACGGGCCCUAAAGGCAGCGGCGGCACCGCGUCCGAUCCUCGAGCGUAUGGGGCUUUGUCACCCGCUCUGUAGGCCCGGCCGGCGCUUGCCGAACGCAAAACAACCAUUCUUUCCAGGUUGACCUCGGAUCAGGUAGGGAUACCCGCUGAACUUAAGCAUAUCAAUAAGCGGAGGA
This 353-nucleotide unclassified non-coding RNA is filed under the name soil metagenome. Its description in RNAcentral is "partial contains 5.8S ribosomal RNA, internal transcribed spacer 2, and large subunit ribosomal RNA". The stretch from base 1 to 120 matches the Rfam family "5.8S ribosomal RNA", at positions 35 to 154 of the family's 154-position model. The record is from RNAcentral.